RNAcentral lists this long non-coding RNA (786 nucleotides) under Anser brachyrhynchus (Pink-footed goose). RNAcentral describes it as "lncRNA (ENSABRG00000018402.1)". The record is from RNAcentral. Lineage: Eukaryota; Metazoa; Chordata; Aves; Anseriformes; Anatidae.
CAGCUGGUGCAUUACAAGGAAUGGUGUUUUAAAAUCUCCUUGGUGCUGAGUUGAGGCUUGUAUGAUUUUCUAUAGCAUUUCUAACCACUCUGGCUGCAUCAUGGUGUGAUCUGUUUCACAUGCCAGGAACUUUGAUGGGGCACAGUUGAGAUUAAUGAUGACAUAAUACAGUAAGAAGAGAUAUUAAUGCUCUUAGGCAUGAAUUAAUGAAAUACCAUUGAGAAUUUAUCCUGCAUGAAUAAAGGGAUUUAGAAGUUGUCGUUCUAAAAACCGCAUGAGGUAUUUUACUGGGGAAAAAAAAAAAAAAAAAAAGAGUAAAAGAAAAAAAAAACACUGCUGAAAUGGGCAGGGUCCUAAUGAACCUUUACUCCAGAUUUUUGUCAGAGCUGGAUGAUUGAGCUGGAUCUACUAAUUGAAUUCCUACUAAUUUACAGCAUUUAUAUAAAUGAGGCACAAAUCUCUCCCAUCCAGGGCUGUGUUGGUGCUAACUUUUAUCCCCAGCUCAGUACAAAGCUGGCUCCCAACCUCCAAUGUAGUUCUAGGGUAGAGAGCCAGCAGGCUAGCAGCAUUCAUAAAUCUGGAUCCAUACAGCAAGACUCGUGCUUACUGGAAUGGGCUAAAGUGUCUUUGCAAGGCUACAGCAGAGUGGAACUGAAGAGCACCUGUGUCCCAGCACUUUUCAUUCUCCAUCAUCCCCUAGAAUUUGAAUAUAACUGGACUGAAGUUACAAGGAAGAAUUGGAUGGAGCCAGUAGGGUUAACACUGAUACUAACAGGAGAUUACUAG